This 253-nucleotide ribosomal RNA is filed under the name uncultured bacterium. Its description in RNAcentral is "partial 16S ribosomal RNA". It matches the Rfam family "Bacterial small subunit ribosomal RNA", at positions 524 to 776 of the family's 1533-position model. The record is from RNAcentral.
UACGUAGGUGGCAAGCGUUAUCCGGAUUUAUUGGGCGUAAAGGGAACGCAGGCGGUCUUUUAAGUCUGAUGUGAAAGCCUUCGGCUUAACCGGAGUAGUGCAUUGGAAACUGGGAGACUUGAGUGCAGAAGAGGAGAGUGGAACUCCAUGUGUAGCGGUGAAAUGCGUAGAUAUAUGGAAGAACACCAGUGGCGAAAGCGGCUCUCUGGUCUGUAACUGACGCUGAGGUUCGAAAGUGUGGGUAGCAAACAGG